GAACGCGAAGAACCUUACCUACCCUUGACAUCCUGCGAAUCCCGAUGAGAGUUGGGAGUGCCGCAAGGAACGCAGAGACAGGUGCUGCAUGGCUGUCGUCAGCUCGUGUUGUGAGAUGUUGGGUUAAGUCCCGUAACGAGCGCAACCCUUGUCCUUAGUUGCCAUCAUUUAGUUGGGGACUCUAAGGAGACUGCCGGUGAUGAACCGGAGGAAGGCGGGGACGACGUCAAGUCAUCAUGGCCUUUAUGGGUAGGGCUACACACGUGCUACAAUGGGGCGUACAGAGGGUCGCCAACCCGCGAGGGGGAGCCAAUCUCUUAAAGCGUCUCGUAGUCCGGAUCGGAGUCUGCAACUCGACUCCGUGAAGUCGGAAUCGCUAGUAAUCGCGAAUCAGCAUUGUCGCGGUGAAUACGUUCCCGGGUCUUGUACACACC
Molecule: ribosomal RNA, 434 nt
Filed under: uncultured bacterium
Lineage: Bacteria
Description: bacterial SSU rRNA
Rfam family: Bacterial small subunit ribosomal RNA
Source: RNAcentral